Hemicordylus capensis (graceful crag lizard) is the source of this 630-nucleotide long non-coding RNA. RefSeq lists it as uncharacterized. The transcript has 2 exons. NCBI's taxonomy places the organism in Eukaryota, Metazoa, Chordata, Lepidosauria, Squamata, Cordylidae. The record is from RefSeq and is a predicted model, not a curated record.
ACCAUGGUGACAGGGAGGGAGCCCAGUGUCAGGGCAGCUGAACGAAAUAAAAAGCACAGAACUGGGGAAUUAUCAGAUAAUUGUGUAAUACAAAAAGGGACCAGACACGGAUGUCCACUUUCCCCACUGCUUUUUAUACUGGUUCUAGAAGUGCUUUGUAGAAGUAUCAGAGAAGAUGACAAAUUACAUGGUCCCAAAAUUGGGAAACAAGACUUCAAGUUGAGAGCCUUUGCAGACGAUGUUGUGCUCUUCUUAGAAAAUCCAAUGGACAAGAUUGAAAGGCUUUUGGAUAAAAUACAACAAUUUGGCCAAUUGGCUGGAUUUUAUAUAAAUAAGACUAAAACAAAAGUUUUGACUAAAAAUAUGGAUCAGAAAUCCAAGGACAGAUUCUCCGAAAUAAGUUUGGAUUUUCUUUUCCCACACAGCAAAAUCAACUGCUAGAUGUCCAAAAGGCUUUAGUCUAACCGUGUCAUAAACACCAUCAGUACUCUGAGAGAUCCUCAGCUCUUCCUCAGUAGCAUGUUGAGAGCCAUCCGACCUGAGGGGCCCAUCAUCUGGCACUACAUCAACAACCAUUCCAUUUUGUCUAUUCGUGUGGUUUUAUUGGUAAAAUACAGGAAUUAUUUACCA